UCGAGCGGACAGAAGGGAGCUUGCUCCCGGAUGUUAGCGGCGGACGGGUGAGUAACACGUGGGUAACCUGCCUGUAAGACUGGGAUAACUCCGGGAAACCGGAGCUAAUACCGGAUAGUUCCUUGAACCGCAUGGUUCAAGGAUGAAAGACGGUUUCGGCUGUCACUUACAGAUGGACCCGCGGCGCAUUAGCUAGUUGGUGAGGUAACGGCUCACCAAGGCGACGAUGCGUAGCCGACCUGAGAGGGUGAUCGGCCACACUGGGACUGAGACACGGCCCAGACUCCUACGGGAGGCAGCAGUAGGGAAUCUUCCGCAAUGGACGAAAGUCUGACGGAGCAACGCCGCGUGAGUGAUGAAGGUUUUCGGAUCGUAAAGCUCUGUUGUUAGGGAAGAACAAGUGCAAGAGUAACUGCUUGCACCUUGACGGUACCUAACCAGAAAGCCACGGCUAACUACGUGCCAGCAGCCGCGGUAAUACGUAGGUGGCAAGCGUUGUCCGGAAUUAUUGGGCGUAAAGGGCUCGCAGGCGGUUUCUUAAGUCUGAUGUGAAAGCCCCCGGCUCAACCGGGGAGGGUCAUUGGAAACUGGGAAACUUGAGUGCAGAAGAGGAGAGUGGAAUUCCACGUGUAGCGGUGAAAUGCGUAGAGAUGUGGAGGAACACCAGUGGCGAAGGCGACUCUCUGGUCUGUAACUGACGCUGAGGAGC
This 709-nucleotide ribosomal RNA is filed under the name Bacillus pumilus. RNAcentral's name for it is "bacterial SSU rRNA". It matches the Rfam family "Bacterial small subunit ribosomal RNA", at positions 62 to 754 of the family's 1533-position model. Lineage: Bacteria; Bacillati; Bacillota; Bacilli; Caryophanales; Bacillaceae. The record is from RNAcentral.